This 337-nucleotide long non-coding RNA is filed under the name Mytilus galloprovincialis (Mediterranean mussel). Lineage: Eukaryota; Metazoa; Mollusca; Bivalvia; Mytilida; Mytilidae. The record is from RNAcentral.
UUCUGUGUUUAGUAUGACGUUCAUCAUCACUGAAGUAUUAUACAGUUUUGUUAAGGGUCCAGCUGAAGAAUGCCUCGGGGUGCAGAAGUUUUUCGCUGAAUUGAAUACCAAUUAGUGGCCUUGGUUGUUGUCGGCUCUUUGGUCGGGUUGUUUUCCCUUUGACACAUUUCCCAUUUACAUUCUCUAUUGUAUUUAUGCUUUUUAACACUUAAUUCUAAUUACAACACUUUCCAUUGGACGUAAUUACAAAAAAACAAAAAUGUAAAUGUAUGAAAAUGGAGGUAUUCUUUCACUAUAAUUGUUAUCAAUAUAACGAAUGAAAGCCGUGUAAAACAAC